GACGAACGCUGGCGGCGUGCUUAACACAUGCAAGUCGAACGGAAAGGCCCUGCUUUUGUGGGGUGCUCGAGUGGCGAACGGGUGAGUAACACGUGAGUAACCUGCCCUUGACUUUGGGAUAACUUCAGGAAACUGGGGCUAAUACCGGAUAGGAGCUCCUGCUGCAUGGUGGGGGUUGGAAAGUUUCGGCGGUUGGGGAUGGACUCGCGGCUUAUCAGCUUGUUGGUGGGGUAGUGGCUUACCAAGGGUUUGACGGGUAGCCGGCCUGUGAGGGUGACCGGCCACAUUGGGACUGAGAGACGGCCCAGACUCCUACGGGAGGCAGCAGUGGGGAGUAUUGCACAAUGGGCGGAAGCCUGAUGCAGCAACGCCGCGUGCGGGAUGACGGCCUUCGGGUUGUAAACCGCUUUCGCCUGUGACGAAGCGUGAGUGACGGUAAUGGGUAAAGAAGCACCGGCUAACUACGUG
Molecule: ribosomal RNA, 468 nt
Filed under: uncultured bacterium
Lineage: Bacteria
Description: partial 16S ribosomal RNA
Rfam family: Bacterial small subunit ribosomal RNA
Source: RNAcentral